RNAcentral lists this small RNA (452 nucleotides) under Oryza sativa Japonica Group (Japanese rice). RNAcentral's name for it is "sRNA Os07g0223733". The record is from RNAcentral. Lineage: Eukaryota; Viridiplantae; Streptophyta; Magnoliopsida; Poales; Poaceae.
ACAUCAUUGGCCACAAAAGAUCUACUGGCAAAAGAUUUAAGUCGUGGAGAUUGACCCGCAGAUGUUGAUCCACUAUCAUUACUACCACUUUGUUUAUCACCCUGCAGACAGAGAAUGCAUGUGUUGUUUCGGACAUCCGCGAAAAGAGAAGAAUAGUAGGCAGGAUCAUAAAUAGAACCACCCAAUAUAUCAUCAGCCAUGGAAUUUCGUCUAACUGAACUUGAUCUUGGGCUCAAGAAACUAUUUCUUCCAUCAUAGUUUACUUCAUGAUAUGUUGGGGUGCUUGAUGAAACCCCCAGCCUAUACAUCUGGAUCCAUAUGAAGGAAGACAAAAACCUUACUGAAAACCCAAUAAUUUGCAUCCACAACGCUAGUUUGAGUGAUAAAACGAAAAGUUGACCAUACUUCUCUUCAGGAGUAAUAUUCCUGUAUAAAUAUAAUAUUAGAUUAAA